CCCUUAGAUGUUCUGGGCCGCACGCGUGCUACACUGUGUGGAUCAGCGGGUCAGGUUGCGCGAAAGCGUUUCCUAAUCUUGAAAUCCGCUCGUGAUGGGGAUUGACGGUUGCAAUUUUCUGUCAUGAACGAGGAAUACCUUGUAAGCGCGAGUCAUCAUCCCGCGCUGAAUACGUCCCUGCCCUUUGUACACACCGCCCGUCGCUCCUACCGAUUGAGUGGUCCGGUGAGGCUUUGGGAUCUGAGCGGAAAGAGCGUUUCGCUCGUUCUGCCCGGAAAACUCAGUCGAACCUUAUCAUUUAGAGGAAGGAGAAGUCGUAACA
This 322-nucleotide ribosomal RNA is filed under the name uncultured eukaryote. Its description in RNAcentral is "partial 18S ribosomal RNA". It matches the Rfam family "Eukaryotic small subunit ribosomal RNA", at positions 1470 to 1796 of the family's 1831-position model. The record is from RNAcentral.